CUAGAAAAAAUCUAAGGUGCAACCUGCCCAAUGGAUUCCAUAAAAUACUAUUAAAUAGUUAAAAGAAUCUUAAAGGACGCAGUAAUCUAACUGUGAUAAUGUAGCAUAAUCACUCGCCAUUUAAUUGAUGGAUAGUAUGAAUGGUUAAACGAAUCUUUCACUGUCUAAGAUAAAGAAGUCAUGAAAUUAAAAUAAUAGUUAAGAUGCUAUUUAAAAUUGUAAGACGAAAAGACCCUGUAGAGCUUAACUAUACCUUUUCUUAUAAAAAAAAACAGAAACAAUCUUAAAACUAGAAAAGGAGUUAGUUUAGUUGGGGCGACUGCCUUCUAAAAACAACGAAGGUAAGCUACGUUAAUAGAAAACUUAUUGUAUAAUUUAUAAAUUUAACAAUUACCACAGUAGGCUAUAAUGACCCGUUAAAAUUCAGUAAAUAUUUUAACGAUCAAUAAAUAAAAGCUACCUCAGGGAUAACAGAAUAAUCUUGUCCCAGAGAUCUCAUCGAAGACAAGGUUUAUCACCUCUAUGUUGAAUUAAGAUACCCCAGCAGCGCAGAAGCCGCUAAAGGUAGGUCUGUUCGACCUUUAAAAU
RNAcentral lists this ribosomal RNA (588 nucleotides) under Crypthelia sp. C AL-2008. RNAcentral's name for it is "partial 16S large subunit ribosomal RNA". It matches the Rfam family "Bacterial large subunit ribosomal RNA", at positions 1836 to 2594 of the family's 2925-position model. Lineage: Eukaryota; Metazoa; Cnidaria; Hydrozoa; Anthoathecata; Stylasteridae. The record is from RNAcentral.